This 1187-nucleotide long non-coding RNA is filed under the name Coturnix japonica (Japanese quail). RNAcentral describes it as "lncRNA (ENSCJPG00005016210.1)". Lineage: Eukaryota; Metazoa; Chordata; Aves; Galliformes; Phasianidae. The record is from RNAcentral.
AUUCAGCUGUUUCAGGACCAACCUAUUGAUACUUUUUAAACAAGCAAACAAAGAAAAAAAUCUCAAAACAUCUCUAUGCAAAGAAAACACAGUGAAAAACAGUCCUGAACCUAAAUUAAAUAAUAGAAGUGCGUAGAGAAAAUGGUCUACUGGUGAGAAACUAGAAGGGUUCUAGGGCUUUACUCCCAUAGAGUCCUAAGCUUUUACAUUUACUUUAAUAGAAACUUAAAUCACUCUCCAAUGAUUUCUCUUAUGGAAAAGCAUGAGUUAAAUGAGAAUGGUUAAGUAUAAACAAGUUGAAUGUCACAGACUGGUAAAUAAAAUGUUAUGAUCUAAAGGAAUGGCUGUGGAUUUCAAAGAGAUAUGGAUUCAUGCAGGAAGUGAGUAACUCCUUUAGACUUCCUACUAUCUAUAAGUGGGGUCCCACUGACGUUGUUGGUAUCCUCUCACAAGAGAAUAGGACCCAUAUUUUUAGAUUUGUGUAUGCCAGCUACUUGCUGGAGUUGUUAUCACACUCAUGUAUUUUUAGUGGCUCACUAUAUUAAGGAGAGGAUCCUUUGCAUUGUGUUGUGUCAUUCGCAGUGUGCGAACUUCCUGCAGCAGUUCUGCUCCUUUGAUCCCACCAGCCACAAGAGCAGAAGAGCUGAUUCAUCAGCCAUGACUAUUUCUUCCAUAACAGGAGCUUCCCAGAUGAUAAUUUCAACAAAGGGAGGAAGAAUAAAUACAGAGCUCCAGUGAUGUCUCUCCAUUCUUUCUAAAUGCAAUUUGCUAAACCAGUCUUCCCUCACACUGCUCAUUCAGGCAGUGAUACAUUAGGAAGCAUUUCACAGUUUCUAUGCACAGGAGAGAUUCCUGGUCUCAGCUGUGUAAAUGUUUUAACUGAGAUUCAUGCUUGGCUAUUCAGAUCAUUGCUUUCUCUUCCAGCCCACAUAGGCCAAAAUGCAUCAAUAUAAGGAUAAAGUGUCCAAAAUCAACACAAUAUUUUCACUUGAACACACCUAUGGCAUGUGGUUCACUCAAAGUACAGGCUACUAUGCCAAGUGCUAGGUUUACACAUUUGCCUGAUAUGAACUUAGCAUGAUCUAUAAAAAUGAUGCAACAGUCCUGUUUUGUGUCUUUUCAAAUCUGACAUGGCAGAAAACCUUUCUGGCAAAGGAAAAAAAAUAAAAAAUCACCAAUAGUUCUCA